RNAcentral lists this ribosomal RNA (977 nucleotides) under Acrobeles singulus. RNAcentral's name for it is "eukaryotic LSU rRNA". It matches the Rfam family "Eukaryotic large subunit ribosomal RNA", at positions 103 to 908 of the family's 3401-position model. The record is from RNAcentral. Lineage: Eukaryota; Metazoa; Nematoda; Chromadorea; Rhabditida; Cephalobidae.
AAGAGCCCAGCGCUAAAUCUUGUCGCUCUAACGGGUGAUGAGAAGUGUAGCGUAUAGUAGGCGAUUUUCCUUGGUGGUUGUCGACUUAAAUUCUCCUUGACUGGGGUUCCAGAGAAGGUGAAAGGCCUGUUCAGUCGAUGACCGUCUUGGAUUCCGUUCUACUUGGAGUCGGGUUGUUUGGGAACGCAGCCCAAAUUUGGUGGUAAACUUCAUCUAAGGCUAAAUACGGCCACGAAUCCGAUAGCAAACAAGUACCGUGAGGGAAAGUUGAAAAGUACUUUGAAGAGAGAGUUCAAGAGGACGUGAAACCGGUAGGAUGGAAACGGAUAGAGCCAAUGAACAAGCCCGUAUUCAGCUAGUCGUCUGCGUGCGGCUCGGCUUACCGCCUCUGUAUGGGGGUGGUGGUUGGGUGCGGCAUGCGGUUGGCUAGUGCAUUUGCGGGUGAUGUGCGCUGAGGCGUGUGAUCGAGUCCUGCGAACCAACAUUAGAGGACCAAGCUUCGGCUYGGAAACCUGGUGGCGGGUAGUAGUGGUCAUGGUUGCACGUAGAUAAAACGGCUAGGCGAUUGCGCGCUGCCGUGUUAUGGAGCUUAGCACACUGGUCGGUCGCGUGCGACUUGGCYUUUGUGUUGGUCCCCGUAGCGCGGUAGCGCUCUAGCYGAUCCUCGGUGUAAAAGUUGGUCAUCUCUCCGACCCGUCUUGAAACACGGACCAAGGAGUCUAGCGUAUACGCGAGUCAUUGGGUGGUAAACUCAUAGGCGUAAUGAAAGUGAAGGUUCAGCAAUGGACUGAUAUGCGAUCCGUUGGGCUUCGGCCUACGCGGAGCAGCAUAGCCCCGUCUCAACUGCAUGCAGUAGGGCGGAGGCAGAGCGUACGCGCUGGUACCCGAAAGAUGGUGAACUAUGCCUGAGCAGGAUGAAGCCAGAGGAAACUCUGGUGGAGGUCCGAAGCGCUUCUGACGUGCAAAUCGAUCGUCUG